GAAAUGCGAUAAGUAAUGUGAAUUGCAGAAUUCAGUGAAUCAUCGAAUCUUUGAACGCACAUUGCGCCCGCCAGUAUUCUGGCGGGCAUGCCUGUUCGAGCGUCAUUUCAACCAUCAAGCCCCGGGCUUGUGUUGGGGACCUGCGGCUGCCGCAGGCCCUGAAAACCAGUGGCGGGCUCGCUGUCACACCGAGCGUAGUAGAUUCUCAUCUCGCUCAGGGCGUGCUGCGGGUUCCGGCCGUAAAACAGCCUUAUUUUAACCAAGGUUGACCUCGGAUCAGGUAGGAAGACCCGCUGAACUUAAGC
RNAcentral lists this unclassified non-coding RNA (305 nucleotides) under plant metagenome. RNAcentral describes it as "partial contains 5.8S ribosomal RNA, internal transcribed spacer 2, and large subunit ribosomal RNA". The stretch from base 1 to 105 matches the Rfam family "5.8S ribosomal RNA", at positions 50 to 154 of the family's 154-position model. The record is from RNAcentral.